GAUAUGUAAUUAGGACAUUUGAGCAU
Molecule: non-coding RNA, 26 nt
Filed under: Cricetulus griseus (Chinese hamster)
Lineage: Eukaryota; Metazoa; Chordata; Mammalia; Rodentia; Cricetidae
Source: RNAcentral